GGCGGUCUAGUGGGUAGAGAAUACGCCUGGAAUGCGGAAGGUUUCGGGUUCAAACCCCGGCUGAGUCA
Molecule: non-coding RNA, 68 nt
Organism: Potamilus streckersoni
Lineage: Eukaryota; Metazoa; Mollusca; Bivalvia; Unionida; Unionidae
Source: the annotation of a GenBank genome assembly